UCGAAAGAGCAGGAGCGCUUGCCACGACUGCGACUCUAGUUCAGGCGGGACUACCCGCUAAGUUUAAGCAUAUCAAUUAAGGGCGAGCGAACUGGGAAAAGCCUAAGCUUAGAAUCGGGCGGCUCCGGCGUCCGAAUUGUAGUUUGGAGAAGCGGGCGGACCGAGCACAAGUACCCUGGAAUGGGGCAUCAGAGAGGGUGACAGUCCCGUCAUGCUCGGACCCUGUCGCACCUCGAGGCACUGUCGGCGAGUCGGGUUGUUUGGAAAUAUAGCCGUAAUCAGGUGGUAAACUCCGUCCAAGGCUAAAUACGGGCGAGAGAUCGAUAACAAAUAAGUACCUUGAGGGAAAGAUGAAAAGGACUUUGAAAAGAGAGUCAAAGAGUGCUUGAAAUUGUCAGGAGAGAAGUAGAAGGGGACCGGCAAUGCGCCCUAGUCGGAUGUGGAACGUUGUCUAAACGAUCCACUGAUCGGCUCAGGGCAUGGACCAGUGCGGAUUUGGGCGACGACCGAAGCCCGGGCUGUAGAUGUGCUUGCGAAGAUGCCGUCGUCGUGAUCAUGGAGGGACAGCGCUAGUCAUCGGCAUGCUUCGGCAUCUGCGCACUCCCGGUGCUAGUCUGCGGGCUCCCCAUUCGACCCGUCUUGAAGCACGGACCAAGGAGUGACAUGUGUGCGAGUCAACAGGUGAGUAAACUCGUAAGGCGUAAGGAAGAUGAUUGGUGGGAUCCACUUGAGGGGUGCACCGUCGACUGACCUUGAUCUUCUGAGAGGCGAACCCAGAGGAAACUUUGGUGGAGGACCGCAGCAAUACUGACGUGCAAAUCGUUCGUCUGACUUAGGUAUAGGGGCGAAAGACUAAUCGAACCAUCUAGUAGCUAGUUCCCUCUGAAGUUUCCCUCAGGAUAGCUGGAGCUCACGUGCCAGUUCUACCAGGUAAAGCCAAUGAUUAGAGGCAUCGGGGGAGAAACGCCAUCGACUUAUUCUCAAACAUUAAAUAGGUAGGACGGGGCGGCUGCUUCGUUGAGCUGUUCCACAGAAUAAAGAGCUCGAAGUGGGCCAUAUUUGGUAAGCAGGACUGGCAAUGCGGGAUGAACCGGAAGCCGAGUUACGGUGCCCAACUGCGCGCUAACCUAAAUACCCCAAAGGGUGUUGGUCGAUUAAGACAAUAGGAUGGUAGUCAUGGAAGUUGAAAUCCGCUAAGGAGUGUGUAACAACUCACCUGUCGAAUCAACUAUCCCCAAAAAUAGAUGGCGCUAAAGCGCGCGACCUAUAACUGGCCGUCGGGGCAAGUGCCAGGCCCCAAUGAGUAGGAGAGCGCAGUAGUCAUUGCAAAACCUGGGCGCGAGCCCAGGCAGAGCGGCCGUCAGUACAGAUCUUGGUGUAGUAGCAAAUAUUCAAAUGAGAACUUUGAAGGCCAAAGAGGGGAAAGGUUCCAUGUGAACCGCACUUGCACAUGGGUCAGUCGAUCCUAAGGGUCGGGAAAAGCCAGACAUAUAGCGCGUUUCGCGCAUGGUUCGAAAGAGAAUCGGGUUAAAAUUCCUCAACCGGGACGUGGCUGCUAAUGGCAACGUUAGGGAGUCCAGAGACAUCGGCGGGGGCCUCGAGAAAAGUUAUCUUUUUUGUUUAACAACAUGCCCACCCUGGAAACGACUCAGCCGAUGGUAGGGUCCAGCGGUUGGAAGAGCACCGCACGUUACGUGGUGUCCCGUGCGCCCUCAACAACCCUUUAAAAUCCGGAGGACCGAGCGCUGUUCAUGCCCGGUCGUACUCUUAACCGCAUCAGGUCGCCAAAGUGAACAGCCUCUGGUCAAUGGAACAAUGUACGCAAGGGAAGUCGGCAAAAUAGAUCCGUAACCUCGAGAAAUGGAUUACCUCUAAGGGCUAGGCACGGGAGUCCCUGUCCCGAACCCGUCGGCUGUCGUUGGAAUGCUCGAGCUAAUCCUNCUCUUGUCGUUGGAAUGCUCGAGCUAAUCCUGCGGCAAGAGCGGGUCGCUGCGUGCCGGUCGGGGGACGGAUUGGGAAUGGCUCUCUCGGGGGCCUUCAUCGGGUGUCGAACAGCCAACCUAGAACUGGUACGGACAAGGGGAAUCCGACUGUUUAAUUAAAAUAAAGCAAAACGAUGGUCCCUGCGGAUGCUAAUACAAUGUGAUUUCUGCCCAAUGCUCUGAAUGUCAAAGUGAAGAAAUUCAACUAAGUGCGGGUAAACGACGGGAGUAACUAUGACUCUCUUAAGGUAGCCAAAUACCUCGUAUCUAAUUAGUGACGCACAUGAAUGGAUUAACGAGAUUCCCACUGUCCUUGUCUACUAUCCAGCGAAACCACAGCCAAGAGAACGGGCUUGGUCGAAUCACUGAGAAAAGAAGACCUUAUUGAGCUUGACUCUAGUCCGACUUUGUGAAAUGACUUGAGAGGUGUAGGAUAAGUGGGAGCCCUUGGGCAAAAGUGAAAUACCACUAGUUUUAAGGUUAUUUUACUUAUUCCGUGAACAGAGACGGGGCCUACACCCCUCUUUUUGGACCUAAGGUCGCCUCGGUGGCCGAUCCGGGCAGAAGACAUUGUCAGGGGAAAGUUUGGCUGGGGCAGAGCAUCUAUUAAAAGAUAACGCAGAUGUGCCUAAGAUGAGCUCAACGAGAACAGAAAUCUCUUGUGGAACAGAUGGGUAAAAGCUGUUUGAUUCUGAUUUCCAGUACGAAUACAAACUGUGAAAGUGUGGCCUAACGAUCCUUUGGACCUUCGGAAUUUGAAGCUAGAGGUGUCAGAAAAGUUACCACAGGGAUAAUUGGCUUGUGGCAGCCAAGNNNNNNNNNNNNNNNNNNNNNNNNNNNNNNNNNNNNNNNNNNNNNNNNNNAUAGCGACGUUGCUUUUUUAUCCUUCGAUGUCAGCUCUUCCUAUCAUUGUGAAACAGAAUUCACCAACUGUUGGAUUGUUCACCUACCCAUAGGGAACGUGAGCUGUGUUUAGACCGUCGUGAGAUAGGUUAGUUUUACCCUACUGAUGACAGUGUCGCAAUAAUAAUUCAACCUAGUACGAGAGGAACGGUUGAUUCGCACAAUUGGUCAUCACGCUUGGUUGAAAAGCCAGUGGCGCGAAGCUAUUGUGCGUUGGAUUAUGACUGAACGCCUCUAAGUCAAAAUCCGGGCUAGAAGUGACGCGUACGCAAGCCGUUUGUUUGCCGACCUGUAGUAGGGGCCUUUGGCCCCCAAGGACACGUGUAGUUGGCUAAGCCGGCGCGGCGGAAGAGCCGCGACGACCGCCUUGAAGUACAAUUCCCAUCGAGCGGUGGGCAGAAUC
This 3288-nucleotide ribosomal RNA is filed under the name Catharanthus roseus (Madagascar periwinkle). Its description in RNAcentral is "eukaryotic LSU rRNA". It matches the Rfam family "Eukaryotic large subunit ribosomal RNA". The record is from RNAcentral. Lineage: Eukaryota; Viridiplantae; Streptophyta; Magnoliopsida; Gentianales; Apocynaceae.